AAGGGCGCUGCAGGGGAGAAAGGGAGUUUCUAAAUGGAAGCAGAGGGCUCUGGUAGGUUCUAAGAUCACUUGUAAACUGUGGCAACCCUGCUCGUGACUUAGUUCUCUCAGGCUCCCAGUCGAAACAGUCCCAGAGGCGACGCGAUUUGCCCGAAGUCUGCAACUUCCUGGAACUGGAAACCAAUCGGAAGACUUCCGCGUCGCGGCUCUUUCCGCCGUGAUCAGGUUACCCAGCGCCUCGGGACCUGCUUUUGAAAAGGAGAGGUCGACCUGGGAGAGCCGCUGAACGAGAUACUCUUCGGAAUCGGAUAUUUUCCUCGAAGUGGGAUUACUGGGUUGAAGGGUAUGCACAUAUGUAAGGCUCUUGAUUCAGAGUCCCUCCAGCCGCGCCAGAAUGAGUGAGUCAGCUUCCCAGCAAGCUGGCCAAAACUCGGUGGAGAUUGGACUGACUUUAAAGAAAUAUUCUUAAGGAGCACCGAGAAAUCCUGUGUGGAAAAGGAGACCGUGACACCAGGCACAUUCUGCCCAGUGAGGUCUUAGCUCAGGUACUAUGACAGGCAGCUUCUGAGGUGGCCCCCACUGAUCCCUGGCUCCUCAUAUCCAGCCCUUGGGAUUCUGAAGAAAGGAAUGUGGCAGAAGCUGCCUUGUUGUGAACUGCUCUGUGAUGAAGGCCAUGUGACAAGGAGCAGAGGGAAGCUUCCAGCCAAAAACCUGUGAGGAACUGAAUCCUUCCAGCAGUGAUGUGAGUGAGCUUGACACAGGAGUCCCCUCCCCAGCUGGGCCUUCAGAUGAGAUGGCCGCCCCAGCAGUCAGCAUUAACCGCAACCUCAUGGAAGACCUUCAGCCACGAGAGGCAGCCAGUUAAGCCAUGCCUGGAUUCCUGACC
Neofelis nebulosa (Clouded leopard) is the source of this 886-nucleotide long non-coding RNA. RefSeq lists it as uncharacterized. Lineage: Eukaryota; Metazoa; Chordata; Mammalia; Carnivora; Felidae. The transcript has 5 exons. The record is from RefSeq and is a predicted model, not a curated record.